CUUAUUUCUCAUUCAAGACUCCUCUCUUCUCCUCUCUUUUGCGUUUUGCUAGCUAUUGAUUUCUUCCCUUCUCAACUCCAUUCAUUUUUUUUUCUCCAGCAACAACAAGAGCCUCUACCUCUAUUCCCCUUCGAUUUCUUACCCUCCUUUCUGCUAUCUUUUCCUUUCGUCACUAUCAAAUUCCUUUUCAUCAAUAGUCGCUCCCCCC
This 208-nucleotide unclassified non-coding RNA is filed under the name Hevea brasiliensis (rubber tree). The record is from RNAcentral. Lineage: Eukaryota; Viridiplantae; Streptophyta; Magnoliopsida; Malpighiales; Euphorbiaceae.